RNAcentral lists this ribosomal RNA (255 nucleotides) under uncultured bacterium. RNAcentral's name for it is "partial 16S ribosomal RNA". It matches the Rfam family "Bacterial small subunit ribosomal RNA", at positions 99 to 354 of the family's 1533-position model. The record is from RNAcentral.
CGAACGGGUGAGUAACACGUGAGCAACCUGCCCUAUACAACGGGAUAACACAGAGAAAUUUGUGCUAAUACGGUAUAAGACCACAGUAUCGCAUGAUACAGGGGUAAAAGAUUUAUCGGUAUAGGAUGGGCUCGCGACCCAUUAGCUAGUUGGUGAGGUAACGGCCCACCAAGGCAACGAUGGGUAGCCGACCUGAGAGGGUGAUCGGCCACACUGGGACUGAGACACGGACCAGACUCCUACGGGAGGCAGCAG